CAGGUUUUGGAUAACUGAAGAAUGUCAUGAUCUGUUAAUAUUCAGGAAAAAAAAAAUGUGGCUUUGUGCCAUUUGUCUACGAAGAAAAGCGAUGCAGCGCCAAUGAAUGGGUUGUAAAGGCGGAGCUCAUGGCUUAAACCAAAGUCUUGCUCACAGCAUGUGGCCAGAGGUGCGGUUGUGUCUGGAGCGCAAUAACUUCAAUGCUUAAAUAAAGUGGCCGUGGAACAAA
This is a long non-coding RNA of Synchiropus splendidus (mandarinfish), 229 nucleotides long. RefSeq lists it as uncharacterized. The record is from RefSeq and is a predicted model, not a curated record. The transcript has 3 exons. NCBI's taxonomy places the organism in Eukaryota, Metazoa, Chordata, Actinopteri, Syngnathiformes, Callionymidae.